UAACAAGGUCUCCGUUGGUGAACCAGCGGAGGGAUCAUUACUGAGUUUACGCUCUACAACCCUUUGUGAACAUACCUACAACUGUUGCUUCGGCGGGUAGGGUCCCCGUGACCCUCCCGGCCUCCCGCCCCCCCGGGCGGGUCGGCGCCCGCCGGAGGAUAACCAAACUCUGAUUUAACGACGUUUCUUCUGAGUGGUACAAGCAAAUAAUCAAAACUUUUAACAACGGAUCUCUUGGUUCUGGCAUCGAUGAAGAACGCAGCGAAAUGCGAUAAGUAAUGAGAAUUCAGUGAAUCAUCGAAUCUUUGAACGCACAUUGCGCCCGCCAGCAUUCUGGCGGGCAUGCCUGUUCGAGCGUCAUUUCAACCCUCAAGCUCUGCUUGGUGUUGGGGCCCUACAGCUGAUGUAGGCCCUCAAAGGUAGUGGCGGACCCUCCCGGAGCCUCCUUUGCGUAGUAACUUUACGUCUCGCACUGGGAUCCGGAGGCUCUUGCCGUAAAACCCCCCAAUUUUCCAAAGGUUGACCUCGGAUCAGGUAGGAAUACCCGC
Molecule: ribosomal RNA, 548 nt
Filed under: Camellia oleifera (tea-oil Camellia)
Lineage: Eukaryota; Viridiplantae; Streptophyta; Magnoliopsida; Ericales; Theaceae
Description: eukaryotic LSU rRNA
Rfam family: 5.8S ribosomal RNA (bases 215-360)
Source: RNAcentral